Molecule: small nuclear RNA, 107 nt
Organism: Suricata suricatta (meerkat)
Lineage: Eukaryota; Metazoa; Chordata; Mammalia; Carnivora; Herpestidae
Source: Ensembl
GUGCUUGCUUCGGAAGCACAUAUACUAAAAUUGGAAUGAGACAGAGAAGAUUAGCAUGGCCCCUGUGUAAGGAUGACACACAAAUUCGCGGAGCCUUUUUUUUUUUU